RNAcentral lists this long non-coding RNA (3793 nucleotides) under Salmo salar (Atlantic salmon). RNAcentral describes it as "lncRNA (ENSSSAG00000095710.1)". Lineage: Eukaryota; Metazoa; Chordata; Actinopteri; Salmoniformes; Salmonidae. The record is from RNAcentral.
GAGGGGGAGAGGGGGGGGGGGUCUUUCGGCAGAAUCACUCUGGACCUAGUUUCAGAAGUCCUCAUCUCUACAGCAGGCAUAAGUAGGUCAAAGAAAGUGGGUGACAGGGUGUCAAGAGUUUGGGUGUCGCUCAGCAUGAAAAAAAAAUACCUUCCAAUUACCUGGUGACACGGUAGACCCCCCCCCCUCUGGAGUUGGGACUACAGUCCUGCAAAAAAACACAGGGGGCAGUAAACACUAUUAUGUGGGAGAAUGUCCCAGCUGACAGUGACAGAAGGGAACUUCCACAGUCAACGACCUUCUUGGUACCUGGUAGCUGGUGGAUUGAGACAGUGGAGCAGCCAGUUAAAAACACAUGACGUAAACACUGUGUGUGUGAGAAUCUAACACCUGGCAGGCAUAACAAUGAGAGUUUAGAAUUCACAUGUGAAAAACAUUAUUGGUAGUACUGCUAGACAGCUACGGUGCAGGUAUUGAGACUGCGUAGCAAGCAUGAAACCUCCUCCUUGGUACAGCAGCGUAGGUACAGUCGGAAAAAGGGAGGGCUGUCUGCCAAUGCGUGACCUAUCCCCUACAUAGCCCUUAUACAAGUGUAACGCUCCGCUUUCACUCUGUCUCUGCGUGGGUGCUGUGAGUCUAGAGGGACUCUAUGGAGGGGGGGGGUGGAGCUGAAGACCAAGCUGUCUGCAUGACAGAUGGAAAACCCAAUCGCUUCCCGAUGCCGCGUUUGUCUUGUAGUAUUGCGUUGCAGAGACAACGUAUGCAUCUAAUUGUAAGCUGUAGACGGCUUGACAGAAAUGGUAGCAGAAGGUGAACGUUGAAUUUUUUGUUGCGCACAUAUCCAAAUGAUGUCGCGUAACAUUUGACGCAACAACGCUGUCGGUGUGAUAGAAGCGUAGUCCCGUCAUAGUUCACUACAUGUCACAUUGUUCCCUUGUACACUCUGUCUGUAGCUGUCACAUUGUUCCCUUGUACACUCCGUCUGUAGUCGUCACAUUGUUCCCUUGUACACUCCGUCUGUAGUCGUCACAUUGUUCCCUUGUACACUCUGUCUGUAGCUGUCACAUUGUUCCCUUGUACACUCCGUCUGUAGUUGUCACAUUGUUCCCUUGUACACUCCGUCUGUAGUCGUCACAUUGUUCCCUUGUACACUCCGUCUGAUUUUGUCACAUUGUUCCCUUGUACACUCCGUCUGUAGUUGACACAUUGUUCCCUUGUACACUCCGUCUGUAGUCGUCACAUUGUUCCCUUGUACACUCCAUCUGUAGUCGUCACAUUGUUCCCUUGUACACUCCGUCUGUAGUCGUCACAUUGUUCCCUUGUACACUCCGUCUGUAGUCGUCACAUUGUUCCCUUGUACACUCCGUCUGUAGUCGUCACAUUGUUCCCUUGUACACUCCGUCUGUAGUUGUCACAUUGUUCCCUUGUACACUCCGUCUGUAGUUGUCACAUUGUUCCCUUGUACACUCCGACUGUUGUCGUCACAUUGUUCCCUUGUACACUCCGUCUGUAGUUGUGACAUUGUUCCCUUGUACACUCCGUCUGUAGUUGUCACAUUGUUCCCUUGUACACUCCGUCUGUAGUUGUCACAUUGUUCCCUUGUACACUCCGUCUGUAGUUGACGCAUUGUUCCCUUGUACACUCCGUCUGUAGUUGACACAUUGUUCCCUUGUACACUCCGUCUGUAGUUGUCACAUUGUUCCCUUGUACACUCCGUCUGUAGUUGACGCAUUGUUCCCUUGUACACUCCGUCUGUAGUUGACACAUUGUUCCCUUGUACACUCCGUCUGUAGUUGUCACAUUGUUCCCUUGUACACUCCGUCUAUAGUUGACGCAUUGUUCCCUUGUACACUCCGUCUGUAGUAGUGACAUUGUUCCCUUGUACACUCCGUCUGUAGUUGUCACAUUGUUCCUUGUACACUCCGUCUGUAGUCGUCACAUUGUUCCCUUGUACACUCAGGUUGUGUAACUGAUGCACAAUGCAUGGAUGAGUUUGUCUGAACAGGAACGUUCCCAUGGAUGAGUUUGUCUGAACAGGAACGUUCCCAUGGAUGAGUUUGUCUGAACAGGAACGUUCCCAUGGAUGAGUUUGUCUGAACAGGAACGUUCCCAUGGAUGAGUUUGUCUGAACAGGAACGUUCCCAUGGAUGAGUUUGUCUGAACAGGAACGUUCCCAUGGAUGAGUUUGUCAGAACAGGAACGUUCCCAUGGAUGAGUUUGUCUGAACAGGAACGUUCCCAUGGAUGAGUUUGUCUGAACAGGAACGUUCCCAUGGAUGAGUUUGUCUGAACAGGAACGUUCCCAUGGAUGAGUUUGUCUGAACAGGAACGUUCCCAUGGAUGAGUUUGUCUGAACAGGAAUGUUCCCACGAGCGUGGCGUGGAGCGUAAUGAGCCAUCAGGAGCACUGAACGAGGACAACAACAUGUGACUGUGCUGCUAGACACCAACUCAGCUACAUCUCAAAUCAAAUGUUAUUUAUCACAUGCACCGAAUACAACAGGUGUAGACCUUACAAACCUUUAACUAACAAUGCUAUUUUUAGAAAAUAAAGUGUUAAGAAAGUAUUUACUCAAAUAAACUGAAGUAAAACAUUUAUUAUUAUUAUUAAGGAGCAACAAUAAAAUAAAAGUAGCGAGGCUAUAUACAGGGGGUACCGGUACAGAGUCAAUGUGGAGGCUAUAUACAGGGUGUUACGGUACUGAGUCAAUGUGGAGGCUAUAUACAGGGGGUACCGGUACAGAGUCAAUGUGGAGGCUAUAUACAGGGGGUACCGGUACAGAGUCAAUGUGGAGGCUAUAUACAGGGGGUACCGGUACAGAGUCAAUGUGGAGGCUAUAUACAGGGGGUACCGGUACAGAGUCAAUGUGGAGACUAUAUACAGGGGGUACCGGUACAGAGUCAAUGUGGAGGCUGUAUACAGGGGGUACCGGUACUGAGUCAAUGUGGAGGCUAUAUACAGUGGGUACUGGUACAGAGUCAAUGUGGAGGCUAUAUACAGAUGGGUACCGGUACAGAUUCAAUGUGGAGGCUAUAUACAGGUGGUACCUGUACAGAGUCAAUGUGGAGGCUAUAUACAGGGUACCGGUACAGAGUCAAUGUGGAGGCUAUAUACAGGGGGUACCGGUACAGAGUCAAUGUGGAGGCUAUAUACAGGGGGUACCGGUACAGAGUCAAUGUGGAGACUAUAUACAGGGGGUACCGGUACAGAGUCAAUGUACGGGCGGCAACGGUUAGUCGAGGUAAUUGAGGUAAUAUGGAUGGAUAAUAUAGGGAGAACCACUUUCCUGGCACUAAUCACUUAAGAUGUUCAGUAUCUUGUUUCUUUUGCCUCAUUAACCCCCCAGCAGAAAUCUAAUUAGCUUAAUAAUACAAAAUCCCCAUCUAAAUCCCCAUCUAAAAUCCCCAUCUAAAUCCAUCUGUUUAAACAAGAGAUAACAAUACACUAACUGCCGUGUUUGUCAGACCAUGAGACAUCCUGAAAAUCGCUCUUUUCACGAACCAUUUGCGUCCGAACCAUUUGCUCAGUGUCAGCCUCUCAACGUCUCAUCACGACAACACAGAUGUCCAUAAUUCUCCGAUUAUUUCAUAUUUUUUCAGAAACAUGCCACGAGUUGUUCAGUCCAAAACACUGUUGAGCAACAAGACAACAACUUUUCCAGGUAGUGCCUGUUUUUCUGAUCAUCCAACAGAAAACAAAUAUUUUUGAAAGGCCCUAUGAUACACAGAGCAACUGUUAUCUAGAGUCAACAAUGUUCUGCUUUUUUUAGCUGGAGGGCGGCUGGCUGAUUCCAG